Molecule: ribosomal RNA, 117 nt
Filed under: Candidatus Roizmanbacteria bacterium RIFCSPHIGHO2_02_FULL_37_9b
Lineage: Bacteria; Candidatus Roizmaniibacteriota
Also listed under: 1 other name
Source: RNAcentral
UCUGGUUACUGGAGCGACUCGGUCCCACCCUUUCCCAUCCCGAACAAGGAAGUGAAACGAGUCAGCGCCGAUGAUACUACCUGCUUCGGCAGGAGGGAAAGUAGGUCGUAGCCAGGG